CAGCGUCGCAUGAGCAGAGCAAAGUCACUCUCCCCCUUGACAAGAUAACUUAGAUUAGGCAAAAGAUUUAGGAGAGAAAUAUAAGGUUCCCUGGCCCCUGUCCAGAGUCACACUUCCUAAAACCCAGAUGGACGGCACUGCGGGGGACAAGAGAACAUAGACAUUGACGAGCUUUGGAGAAGCCGGCCCUGCACCCAUCUCUUCACUCGGUGACCAGGCGGAGCCCCAGGGAGGGUGAGAUACCAGGGAGAUAGGAGGGAUCCAAGAGCAGGGGAUCCGGGCCUUCCAUCCUGGGGCAGCUCCAGGAGGCAACAAGGCUGCAGACAAGAAACACUGCGUGGAACAUCUAGGCAGGCGGAAAUCAAGGUGUCAGCAGGGCUGGUGGCUUCAGGCGGCUCCAGAGCAGAAUCCGUUCCUUGCCUCUUGUGGCUUCUAGAGGCUGCCUGUGCUCCACAGCUGUGGCCCCAUGCUCCGUCUUCAGAGCACACACUCCAACCUCUGCUCGGUCAUCACACCAUCUCUCCUCCUCGCUGACAUUGGCCCUCUCGCCUCCUGCUCACAAGGACCCUUGUGAUUCCAUUGGGCCCACUUCGAUAAUCGGGAUCAUCUCUCCAUCUCAAGAUCCUUAACUUAAUCCCAUCUGCAGUGUCCCUGUGCCAGAUGCUCACCUUUGGAACCCAGCCACCACGUUGCAAGGAAGCCCAGGCCCCAUGGAAAGGUACGCUUGAGGAAGAAACAAGCCCGCCCCGCAACAGCCAGCACCAACUUGCCAGCCAUGUGGAUAGGAAGUGGAUCCUCCAGUCCCAACCAAGCCUCCAGAUACUGCAGCCUUGGCUCACAUUUGACCACAGCUUUAUGAGAGCCAGAAUUACCCGCCAAGCCUCUUCCAGAUCCCUGAUGCUUAGAAACAGUGAGAGGUCACUCAAGUUCUUAUUUGCAGUCCCUGGAACAAGACCCGCCUCCUCUCCUCCAGGCCUGUGAACAUUCUCAUCCCCUCCUCCUCUACAUGAGACCUCCAUGGUUUGCCCCCUGCAGCCAGGUUCGUCAGCCCUCUCUACAUGUGGCCACACUGCUCCAUGCUUGCCCCAUGCUCACACUCCUCACUGUCCACUGGCCAUAUUAAAGGUGCACUAGCUUCUCCCAGAGGCUGCCAACUGAGGUCAGAGACGACUAACUGUGACCUCAGGAAUGAGGGCUCCAAUGUCAGAGGCAGCCAGCAUCCGAGGGGCCAGAGUGUAGCCGUCAACACAGAUCGUGAGGUCCCAAACACCCUCGACCUCGGCUCACAGAGAUCUUUCUUCCUUGUCCCGAAGUGGAAGGGCUGGGCUGCUGUGGGCAUGGCUGACAAAGCUUCUCCAUAACGCGUUAGCAAUUUCUGCUCACAUUCAGCAAACGUCCUUGAUGGGUGUGGACAUCGCAUUAGCAGCUCUUGAAUUAUUCUCUUGUGAAGGAGAGACCUGCCCAGGGCCAGUGAUCGAAUUCUAAGCGAGAUAACAUCGUGGGCAGGGCCCUAACACGGUGCCGAUCCAGUGACCCUGGAUAAAGGGGCCCCUGGGUCUACCAGCCUCCCUCCCACAUACUGUUUUCUCUGCUGGGCAGAGCAGCCUCUUCCACACUGCCUGGGGGGUUUGUGCUCUGCCCUACUCUUCUGCUCCUCUGACCCUGUCCAAAGUCCCUGUCCUCACCUUGGAGGUGGUCUCCUCACAGCAGACGGGGAUGGCUUUGAUGUUCAUGCUCGACUGCGUGCAAUACAGAGCCUCCCUCCUGUGGGACUCUCUCUGCCUUUACUUCCUGAGGGCAGGUGGGUCUCCAUCAGGCUGAGAGCUCCCCGGACAGAGCCUGUGUAUCCUGGGAGUUCUCAUCCUUCUCCCCCUGCUCUCCAAGCACCUACUGGGCUCUGUUCACGGAGGGAGCUGAACUUGAAGGCGACCCUGGCACUUAGCAAAGGCCUGCAAAGAGAGCCAAACCUGGAAGCCUGGUGAAGCAAUGGCGCAUUCAUUCCACGGUGCCCCCGGACUCUGGAGAGCGGGGAGUGGAGGGGCACAUUCAGACGCCAGGCGAGUGCGGCUGUCCUCCCGGCCAGGCACAACAACAUGCUUCGGUUCAGCUGGAAGACUUCACUAGCCUCCAGAACUGAUGGCGCCUUGGUCCAGUGCCUGCCACCGUCUCCUCCUCCCCCGUUAAUGCACUCGUUGUUCACUAUGUGUGCUGCGAGGUGUUUUUCCAGGUGGUGGGUUCCAGGGGGAAUUGAAUUUCCCUAACAAGCAGGCUUGCAAAUAACUAGGCAGGGCCGGGAGCGAGAGGAAGGCAGCUCCUAUUAGAUUCUAACAGUGGCAACCCACAGCCCAACCCUCCCGGGAGCAACCUGCCCAGACUAGAGCAUGGGGAAGAAAUUCUAGAAGCAUCUUCUUUCCCAAGUUUCCCAUUCCUCAAAUAGAUCUUGGUUAGUUUUCUCUGCCAAUUUGCUGGUUUGGCUUGGAGAGCAUGGGCGGGGCAGGAGAAGGGCUGAAACAGAGGAUAGAGAAGAAGAAAAAGAUAAACCCUUUAUAUUUGUGUAAUGCACUGGCCUCUCUCCUCCAGGAUAUCCCAGGACUGUAGCACCUCUGAGGAUUGCUUUGUGAUGCACACAGUCCUCAUCCUCUGUCCAGGCCUGGACUGUGGCAGGGCAGCGAGGCCCUGAGGGGGGACUGUCCUGUCACGCCUCCUCAGGAGCAGGAUUAGGAGAGCAGAUGUAGCCUGUUCUCGGGAGGCUCCUCCCCCUCUGCCCUGCACGCUGCCGCCUGAACGGAAGGGCAGGCUCAGAGGCUUCCUCAGAGCCCUCCUCCCACUACAGAUGCGUGGAGCAUAAGAGGUCACCUGCUCCAGUCUCCAGCCUCCAGGCGGGAAAAUUCCACAGCUUCCAGAGCGGACAGAAGACUCAGGGCUGCUCUUCAACCAAGACGGGGCAAACGUCAGAUAUAAGAGGGGCCUGGGGCUAGGACCUAUUGAGGCUGCUCUGUGGUUUGGUGGCACGCUGCCUCGUGUCAUCAGGGGUUGUCAGCUGCUGCUCUGGAGUCUAGGGUGUGUCUCCUUGAAGGCCCUGACUCAGAUCUUCCCUCCUCUCUCUGACCUUUCGCACUUCCAAGCAGAGCUGACCGUUCAGGGCUCCAGCAGCAGAUUGGACCCUCUGUGACAGCAUUUAUCAGCUGGGUUGGGAGCCUCUGCCCUUCCCUCUUCACCAGGCGAUGGAGCUGCCUGAGGGAGAUGACCAGGCUUCCUCCUCUGACUGGCUGAAAGCGUCUCCAGGUCUCUCAGGUCAGAAGGCCGCAGAGCAGGCUCAUGGAGAUGAAGGCUUAGUUUGCCACAUCACAGAAGCCUUGCGAGUGUUUCUGCCAUGUUCUCCUCUGCAUGGAGGAUGCCCUGCCCGUGGAACAGGGACAGUCAUGAAGAAUGGCCAGAGGACCCUGGACUGAAUGAUUCACCAGAAGCAGGAGUGCCUUCUGGAAGUCUGCAGAAAACUUGAGAUGGGCAUUAGACUUUGCAAAAUCCAGGCAGCGACGAUGGUUCAAGGCAUAUUUCCCUUGAUCUUCAGAAGAGUGUGACUACCUCUGGUCUCGUCUGUGGUGUCUCAGUGGCAGUAUGUGUGUAAGAAGGGGGAGGUUUCCGUGUCUGUAUAGUUGCUGGCUGCAUUUGCACCCAUACUUAAAGGUGUGGGUGUUCAUGUGCUUCUUCUGCUUUUGUGUAGGGAUAUUAUUACACAUUGUAUCUUUGUUGGAGAUGCUGCUAAAUGUUCAUGUGAUCAUACUUUUCUUCCUCACUGAGUCUUCAUAGAGGGAAACUGAGUCCCUUCCCACACCUUGAGGAGUAGAGGCUUUCCCAGGAUCUGAGCCCUGCCAAGUAACAUGCGGUCCCUGCUCCCAUCU
This is a long non-coding RNA of Equus caballus (horse), 3902 nucleotides long. NCBI's taxonomy places the organism in Eukaryota, Metazoa, Chordata, Mammalia, Perissodactyla, Equidae. The record is from Ensembl.